RNAcentral lists this long non-coding RNA (332 nucleotides) under Elaeis guineensis (African oil palm). RNAcentral describes it as "long non-coding RNA (EGUI_LNC053896)". The record is from RNAcentral. Lineage: Eukaryota; Viridiplantae; Streptophyta; Magnoliopsida; Arecales; Arecaceae.
GGAGCAGUUUGACCUGCUGGUUCAACAGGUCAGAGGCCUCAUCGAAGCAGUGCAGGCCAUGCAGCAGCAGCCACAGCAGCUGCAGGUGUUGGUGUGGUUGGAAAGAGUAUCGUCGGAGUUUCAGAAUCCGACGACCGGGUGGGCCACAUGGGCCAGCCAUCCUAUCUUUCCCAGAAAAGAAAAACAAAAGGCGGAGAGUCCUCCGUCUGAUCAUGAUUCAACCCCCAGAGAGUUCCUGCCUCCGCUCCACCAGAAGACCCUCGAGGCCCGCAAUCGAGAGGACCUCCUGGAUCAGAGAUUUCAGGAGAUGAACCGACAGAUCGAAGAGCUCC